This 404-nucleotide ribosomal RNA is filed under the name uncultured bacterium. RNAcentral describes it as "bacterial SSU rRNA". It matches the Rfam family "Bacterial small subunit ribosomal RNA", at positions 355 to 775 of the family's 1533-position model. The record is from RNAcentral.
GAAGGAAUUUUGGACAAUGGGGGAAACCCUGAUCCAGCAACGCCGCGUGGGCGAUGAAGGUCUUCGGAUCGUAAAGCCCUUUUCUGUGGGAAGAGGCAGGACGGUACCACAGGAAUAAGUCUCGGCUAACUACGUGCCAGCAGCCGCGGUAAAACGUAGGAGGCGAGCGUUAUCCGGAUUUACUGGGCGUAAAGCGCAUGCAGGCGGUUUGGCAAGUUGGGCGUGAAAUCUCUCGGCUUAACCGGGAGGGGUCGUCCAAUACUGCGGGACUUGAGUGCAGGAGAGGGAAGCGGAAUUCCCGGUGUAGCGGUAAUAUGCGCAGAUAUCGGGAAGAACACCAGUGGCGAAGGCGGCUUUCUGGCCUGUAACUGACGCUAAGAUGCGAAAGCUAGGGGAGCGAACGG